Molecule: ribosomal RNA, 253 nt
Filed under: uncultured bacterium
Lineage: Bacteria
Description: partial 16S ribosomal RNA
Rfam family: Bacterial small subunit ribosomal RNA
Source: RNAcentral
UACGUAGGGGGCAAGCGUUGUCCGGAUUCAUUGGGCGUAAAGAGCGUGUAGGCGGCCAGGUAGGUCGGUUGUGAAAACUGGAGGCUCAACCUUCAGACGUCGACCGAAACCAUCUGGCUAGAGUCCGGGAGAGGAGAGUGGAAUUCCUGGUGUAGCGGUGAAAUGCGCAGAUAUCAGGAAGAACACCCGUGGCUAAGGCGGCUCUCUAGUACGGUACUGACGCUGAGACGCGAAAGCGUGGGGAGCGAACAGG